GUGUCAGCAGCCGCGGUAAUACGGAGGGUGCAAGCGUUAUCCGGAUUCACUGGGUUUAAAGGGUGCGUAGGUGGGCUGGUAAGUCAGUGGUGAAAUCUCCGAGCUUAACUUGGAAACUGCCAUUGAUACUAUCAGUCUUGAAUACCGUGGAGGUUAGCGGAAUAUGUCAUGUAGCGGUGAAAUGCUUAGAUAUGACAUAGAACAUCAAUUGCGAAGGCAGCUGGCUACACGAAUAUUGACACUGAGGCACGAAAGCGUGGGGAUCAAACAGGAUUAGAAACCCGUGUAGUCC
RNAcentral lists this ribosomal RNA (292 nucleotides) under uncultured bacterium. RNAcentral's name for it is "partial 16S ribosomal RNA". It matches the Rfam family "Bacterial small subunit ribosomal RNA", at positions 505 to 796 of the family's 1533-position model. The record is from RNAcentral.